This 1800-nucleotide long non-coding RNA is filed under the name Coffea arabica (coffee). RNAcentral's name for it is "long non-coding RNA (CARA_LNC006150)". Lineage: Eukaryota; Viridiplantae; Streptophyta; Magnoliopsida; Gentianales; Rubiaceae. The record is from RNAcentral.
UUAGAAAAGCAGUAGAUUUUGGAAACUCAUAUGCUUUCCACAUAUGCAGAAUCCUCAGAAGUUUCUCCUUAUCAUUGUAGGGUAGGUCCUUUAAUUCUUAAAAAGUCAAGUGAGAAUAUAGUGCAAGUGGAGCCCUUCAAGGUUUUGUGGCAAUAGUGCCUGCUGUGGACAGAAAAUUAUUGUUGAACUAAGGGAAGCUUUUAUUUUACCCUAUCCUCUCCUUGCCCAAUAGGGCUUCUCUUCAAAUGGUUGAUUCAGGUUAGCAAAAACAAAAUAACUGGCCUCACAUUGGCCAUCUUUAAUGGACAGAAAACAGGCACGCACAUUGAAACAGUUCAACCAUCAUCUCAUUGUGAGGAUCCACAGAAAGUAAGGACACUGUGCUCCUCACUUUCUUUGGUUUAAGAUAUAUUAAAACAUUAUAUUUUCAUCUAAUUCAUGAUAAAACCAUGAAAUUGAAUCAAAUUCAAAUGAUCCAUAACAAUGUGAAGGUGGUUGGUUGUGUACCUUCCAUUCUUGUGAGGAAUGACAGCAGCAUGCUGCCGUGAGACAGACUGGUGGUCAAGCACAAAGUCACAAGUUUGAAAUUGCCGUCCAAAUAUGUGCCUCCGCUUAUCCAAAUGGAUGUUAUCAAGAACCUCGCCAUCCUUGAUGACUUCAAGAUAAUAAAAACCAGGACAAGGUUCAAUUGCCCAAUCAGGGGGCUGCCAAGUUGAUUGGCCCCCUCCAACCUGAGUCACUGGCUGAGUUGGGGGUACAGGUUGUGCAACAUCCGGCAGUAGAGGCUUCUGGGAGCCAGGGUUUUGGUUAUGGAACUGGCUUAGGUGGUGCUGAGAGUUGGAAGCAGAAGGGCUGGCAAGUGGUUUAUUGGAAGGCUGUGUGGGUGAUUUAGCAUUGGCAGAAGAAUUACUCACACUGACAGAAAAUGGUUCCGAAGUUUGAGCCUUCUUGAAGCGAUCAAGACCAGCUCUCCCAUACAUUUUCUUGAAGAAUUGUAAUCGUUGUUCGUUCUUGCACAGAGUUUCUUAAGAAAUAGUACACUUCAAUCAGAUAUUAGGUAAAUGGUAGCGCUCCAGCAUCCUCAACUAACACACACACACACACACACAGAACUUCAAACAGAUGUUGAAGUCUACAGGCGCUUCACUUAGAGCAAGCAACAAACUGUGCUUGAGAGAGAGAAUGAGAGAUUUGCCGCUUUUGACACUUCAGAAGCUCCUAAAACGAGUUAUAAAGGUGGAAGAGAGCCUUUAGCCCCUCUGACUGCAGAAUCGAAGCAUGCAGCCAACCACUGAAAGUGUGAAAGAUGCAAUCUUUGGCACCUCUCUUCUCAAAGAUACCAAAUAUGAAUUUAUGAGGACUCAUCAUUCUGCUAAAUUGAUACUAGUCUAGCCUAGAAGUUUCAUGCUUUUCUGCUCAGACAUUCAACUGUUUAUAUACUCUCUCCCAAGAUGGGUUAAACUAGUCAAAAUUUUGCACUUGACUUGUUCGUCUACAUCAAUGCCGCUGCUCCAUAAAUAUUUGUCGGGUAUGUCACAUUUAUAGUAUCCUCCUUGAGUUGCAUAAUGACUACAAAUGCUUACCUUAGAAAAGCAGUAGAUUUUGGAAACUCAUAUGCUUUCCACAUAUGCAGAAUCCUCAGAAGUUUCUCCUUAUCAUUGUAGGGUAGGUCCUUUAAUUCUUAAAAAGUCAAGUGAGAAUAUAGUGCAAGUGGAGCCCUUCAAGGUUUUGUGGCAAUAGUGCCUGCUGUGGACAGAAAAUUAUUGUUGAACUAAGGGAAGCUUUUAUUUUACCCUAUCC